This 536-nucleotide ribosomal RNA is filed under the name uncultured bacterium. Its description in RNAcentral is "bacterial SSU rRNA". It matches the Rfam family "Bacterial small subunit ribosomal RNA", at positions 777 to 1311 of the family's 1533-position model. The record is from RNAcentral.
AAUAGAUACCCCGGUAGUCCACGCCGUAAACGUUGGGCGCUAGAUGUGGGGGCCAUUCCACGGUUUCCGCGUCGUAGCUAACGCAUUAAGCGCCCCGCCUGGGGAGUACGGCCGCAAGGCUAAAACUCAAAGGAAUUGACGGGGGCCCGCACAAGCGGCGGAGCAUGCGGAUUAAUUCGAUGCAACGCGAAGAACCUUACCAAGGCUUGACAUAUACGAGAACACUGCAGAAAUGUAGGACUCUUUGGACACUCGUAUACAGGUGGUGCAUGGUUGUCGUCAGCUCGUGUCGUGAGAUGUUGGGUUAAGUCCCGCAACGAGCGCAACCCUCGUCGCAUGUUGCCAGCACGUAAAGGUGGGAACUCAUGUGAGACUGCCGGGGUCAACUCGGAGGAAGGUGGGGAUGACGUCAAAUCAUCAUGCCCCUUAUGUCUUGGGCUUCACGCAUGCUACAAUGGCCGGUACAAAGGGCUGCAAUACCGUAAGGUGGAGCGAAUCCCAAAAAGCCGGUCUCAGUUCGGAUUGAGGUCUGCAAC